This 192-nucleotide ribosomal RNA is filed under the name Triticum aestivum (bread wheat). Its description in RNAcentral is "partial small subunit ribosomal RNA". The record is from RNAcentral. Lineage: Eukaryota; Viridiplantae; Streptophyta; Magnoliopsida; Poales; Poaceae.
AUGCUUCCUCAGUCGGCUGUACCCCUACGGACUACAUGGAAUCAGUCAAGGCCGUCCUUAGCACGAUCCCGAUUCACCAGCUCCGGCGCCCCCAAGAAGACCAUCAAGGCGCCCGAGAAGAUCCAGCGAGGCUUCCUGUGGGCCGGCCGCGCGGAGGCAAAUGGCGGGCACUGCCAUGUUAACUGGCAAUGA